ACAGUAGAAUCAGCCAGAAGAGAGUGUUGAACAAGAUGAACUGGAAAUUGUUUCAAUAUUUAUAAAACUCCAAAGGAAAUAAUGUAGUUUUAGAAAAAAAUAAGUGUGUCAGUUUGUCAAAAUGCAAAAUCUCGGUCACUUACAACAAG
Caenorhabditis elegans is the source of this 149-nucleotide non-coding RNA. The record is from Ensembl. NCBI's taxonomy places the organism in Eukaryota, Metazoa, Nematoda, Chromadorea, Rhabditida, Rhabditidae.